AAGAAAAUUCACUCAAUGCUCAGGCUUGAACACAUUUUGCUGUUAGAGAUUUAUAGCAAGCAUUUUGAACUUAUCCAGCUUGACACAUGUAAGUGUCUUUAGACCUAUUUCUUCUUUUUAGUGUGACAAACAAAAGUCCUCCCCCAAAAUAAAAACUGAGGCAUUUGAAGUUGCUACUGGUUUUGGCCAGCAAAAUCCUCUUUGUUUCUGUUCUUUGUGAGUUUAAUAUUCUUUAUAAGUGAGGGGCCUAUAUAGACUUUGUUUCCUCAGCUGGUUCCCAGUUAGUCAAUGCUUUCCUGAGGUGUUUCUGUAUCCUUUCUGCAAAAUAAAUUCCCAAAGUGGUUCACUGGAAAUAUGUGUCAUGAUCUAAAGCUUACCAAAGAUCUCUUCACUAGCUGUGGAUUAAAUACUACUUGAAGGUUUAGACAAAGGCUCUGAAAUAAGAGUACAAUUGCAUAAUCUGGAAGAGACUAUGCCAGUUUCCUUAUUUGUAAAAAAGAAAUUAUUUGUGGACCAAUUUGUGGUCCAUCCUGGACUAUGGAUAGUCCAGACUAAACUGACCUUACAGGAUUCAAACUGAGAUCAAUAACUGAGACUAGAAUUGGCUUUUGUAUCAGUUUGAAUAUGUGAAUAUAUAUACUCACCUGUUGAUGAGUAUGUGAUUUGCAAGAUUUUUUUUUUGGUAGUGGUUUAGUAUAGUUGACCUAAGUCCUUUGACUAACAAUGGAGGGGUUGUGGAUAGUCAGCAAACGAUCUGACUGACUAGUGAAGAAAGUGUGUGAAUGAAUGUUUGAUGAAACAGUAAACACUACCACUGCAUGUUGUGAAGCAAGCAGAUCUGUGGAAACAACCAGAAAUGGAGCAGUUUCUUAGAGCAGUGUCUCUCUUAAUCUGUGUGCAAAUAUCAGAAUUCUCUCCCAAAUAGGUCUAAGUGAAAAUCAGUUUACCUACCCGCAAAAUGUAAUUGCAAUUUAUUGGGAAAUGAAGCCAUAAAAUAAAAAUAUGAUCUUACAUCAACUUGUAAAGGAAAUUUUAGAUAUUUGCAAGCUUCAUUCUCCUUCCUUGUUCCACCCCUGUUAUAUACCCAUUUGAGUGAAGAAGAACCUGGUCCUCUGUUCCGACUCAAAUCAGAAAUUUGAAUCUGAAUGCUCUGACAACAAGAGGCUGAGGCAGUUGUUAAUUGCAAAAUCAACUCUUCAAUUAGAUGGUCUUUCAAAACAUCCUUUUCCCUGAGCACCAUUACCAGAAAUGUCUGAAGUCUGUCUCCAGUCAUCCUGGCCAAAUGAGAUACCCAAAAUGCGAUGCUCAAACAGAAAGACUUGUCAAGUCAUGAUUAGCUAAGCUAUUGGACUCCCACCUUCUCUUAAAGAGAUCCCACAUAAAGCCCAAGUGAAAUGGGCUAGUUUAAUGUGCUUCACUUAUUUUCUUUUCAAUUUCCAUGCAUUCUUCUAUUACACUUUAUUAUACAGAGCUCCACAGAGAAUUUGAUAAUUACCUAUGCAUGAGAAAACACUCCCCCUUCUUAGCCUAAAUUCCCUUAUCCUGAGGGUCAAUUUGGAAGUUAUUUUUCCUUUCAAAGUGAUCUUUGGCAGAGGUGUCAAUCUGCACUUGGAAUGAUGCAGGUUUACAUAAAAAACCAAGACUGCAAUUGAGAAUUUACAGGCAAUUCUCAUUUAGGAAAAGGAAAAAUAAGAAACAGUAGGGAAGGAGCAGCUAUAGGCUAUGUAAUAGUUGUAGAGCAGCAAUAGUCAAUGCAUAAAAAACCCAGAAUGCACCAGUUUUCUAAAAUGUUUAUCAUGUCAGACAGUUUUAUGAUAUUAGUUGUGCAAUAAAGUAAUUUUGAAGUCAUGUAUUUCCUGGAAGCUAAUGACUGGACACUGGAUCUGACACGCCAUGGAAGGGCUUGUCAUUUUAUCUUACUGUAUUAUUCUGUGGAAGAAGCAGACAUCAUGAUUAUGUCAGUAAAAUUCUGAACCACUUCCCCCAAGAUUUUAAUAGCAUCUGAUUUAUUGCAUUUAGUGAUCCUCUAUAGGAAAAAACUGAUGAAGUGCUUUAUAGUUUUAGCAUAUCUCCACUUUUCUCUGCCUUUAAAACUCUAAUCUCUUUUUUAUGUAGGGGCACAGACCAACAAAACAACCAUAGUUCAGAAGAUAUUUUUCCAGAAACAUGAAAUCUCUCAAACUCUUUAACCAUGAGAGCUUAUAUGAAGAUGGUUUUGUACUGUGAAGCAGAGGACCACAUCCCUUUCACAUGGAAAUCAUCAUAAUACUCCUGACUUCAUUCAAAAUCAGUAUAACUUUGCUCAUUUCUGUUAAAUGGGUGUCUGACCCAAGGUUUCCAUAGAGAACUGGUGGCCUUCCUGUGCAUAUUUCAGUUUUGAAAGAAUUUCUCUGGAGUGUUUUCUGAUAAAACUAGUGAUUUUCCCAACACAUUUUCUAGUAGCAGCUGCAUUAGUAAGUAAGUAAAAUUAUCCGAGAACUAAUCUGUGGUUGCAAGUUGCACAUAGUUUUCUCCCUGCUCUCAGAGUCUUCAUGCAUCCAACCUGUUGGGAAUAGUUCCUUGCUUAGAAUUUUCCAUGAAUGCUGCUUGGGCACUGUGUAGGACAGUCCUGGUUGGCUCAGGUCAAAGCUCUUUUAGGGACUAUGCUCAGAAUUCAAGAGUAGGAUUGACUGUAUACAAAAACUUUUGCCUGUGACUUGUUUAGAUGUUACUUUUAGAUCUGGUGCCUUUGUUGUGUAGGUAUUCAGUUUAAUUAGGAAAGUGAUUUUUUUCCCCUUAAAAUUGAUACUUGAGUAAACUGCAUCCUGUUGACUUCAGAACUGUUACACAAGUUUGGUGUCUCUUGCACGGAACUGCUUUGAAUGUGGAGCUAGUUUUAUUAAAUUAUUGACUCUGAAAAUAAGUUCUAUAUUGUCUUCUGAUGCAUUUUUUUUUCCUGGAAAAUCAAGAUGAUCACUACAUGCACAUCAUGCAAACUGAGUUUAUAAAUGUUUUUAAAGUCUUUGUUGCUCAGUAUAUAUCUCCACAAUUAUGGUAAAAGUGCAGUUCUUUAGUUAUGCAAUAAUUGUAGUCAAAGUUCUGUGCAAAAAUACUGAGCUUUGAGCAGGAUAUUGAAAACCAGCGUGGGAAAUCAGAUGAAGAAAAAUUAAUAUGUUUUACAAAUAUCAAUUUCCCUUUCUAUAUGACCUGAAUAUCUGCAGUUACUAUAAACACUACAGAAUAUGUAUCUGUAGAAACAAAUAGCCAAAAAAAUGUAUAUAUUUCAAUCCAGAAAGUGAAUAUAUGAAAGAACAUUGUCAGGUUAUGCUGUAUAGUAGUUGUUCUUCAUUUCAGAUAUUUCACAUUCUGUAGAACAGCCUAAAUUUACCUGCUCAGGCACACUGCUAAACAAGUUGCUAGAUUCUAUUUUGAUGAAACAAUUGCUUUUCGGACAUGAUGCUCUAAUAAAAUGUGCUGUCCUUCCAGUCAUGUAAUCAACUGCAUAUAGGGCAACAGCAAUCCAACCCAUGCAACAGCAGGUCUGUCAGAAAUUUACUUCCUUUGAUGCAAAUAUUUAUGAAAAAAAAAGUGCUUCUUUCUUUUUGCUUUAUGUUGUUUUUGUUUUUCUUUAGCGGAAUACAUCUAAGUUGCUGGCAGUUCCACUAUUAGCUGGCUAAUACUGAGAUUGUUAACUUUCAUUAAGUCAGUAUGGAGCUUGAUUCCCACUGUUCUUUCAACUUCCAUUAGAACCUAUUUAAUUGAAGCUUUUCAUACAAUGUCUGUUAACCCUGACUGAGACGUGCUCAGUUUUUAAAGAAAAUUGCAGCUGUUCCAUUUGGGCCAUUUACAUCUGUAACAGAAGGUCACCUACUAGUUAUGAAUGAAAUUGUGACACCUUAGGUCUUGUGGUAUUUUAUUUACUUAUUUACUUUCUUACUUAUUAAUGUAGAAAAAUCUAGUCAGUAUGCCAAGUCAGGACUUUUCUAAGUUCUUUGCCAGACUAGUCUCAAAUUUGGAUCCUGAGCACAAAACCACCCUAUAAGUUAAUGUUGCUAUAAUGUUUCCUGAGAUGCUUAAAGUGUUCUGUUUCUGCAGUAAAAUUUGCAAAAGCAAUCAAUUUUUGAUAGUGGAGAGUAGAUUUAUGUUUCUCUUAUACUGGUACCCACCAGGAGCCAUAACCUAGGGACCUCUUCUAGUUUUUCUGCACAUUCUGACCCAACAAUUAUUUACUGCAUGCUGAGCAGAGUAUGUUCUGCAUAGAGCAUAGCCAAAAAGGGCUGGUUAGAGCACUCACAAUGGAUGCAGAUAAUGUAAGUCCAGCUCUUUUUCACCCUUCCCCUCACCCUAAGAGCAUUUGAAUGCAUCUUUUCCAUGAGUGAUUUAACUAUGAGAGUCUCUUUGGGUCUGCCUCCCAGAUUUCUUAACGAACCUUUUAUCUGAGACAGGAAUAUUUUCUUCAUCUGUCUAAGCUCUAAAAGUCAAUUUGUUGUCUGGCUAUAUUUUAAGAAUUCAUUCAAGAAGCAAUUUCCACGUGGCCAGGAGGCAUACAUCUCUACACUACUUUCUUUUGGGUGGGUAGAAAUCACAGCUCAGAUUUAUCUUACCAAUGAGGGAUUUGAAAGCAUCUCAGAAGAAAAGGAGCUCUUGGAUUACUCAGAGGGAGGGGAAUGCAAUGCUGCAGAGGAACUCUGAGGAAUGGCUGACUUAGAUGUGGUUUUAGCAUUAUGUCAUACUAGAAUGUGAAUCUUGCAAGGCAGGUCUCUUCAGCCCUUAUUAAUACAGUAAGAGUAGAGUGAAAAUCCAUGAAUGAAAGGAAAAGAGCUUCCUAGCUUCUUGAGAGCUGCAAUGUGUGAGUAUCGCUCUAAAAGCAUGAAGAGGUGUAUCUGUUGGUAAUGUAGAUGAAGGGUCCAUUUAACACUGACAAUACAGGCAGGGAUAACACUUUUUCCAUUUAUUUUCUUGUGAAUUCCUCAGCACCCCUAUGUUAUAACCAUGGGAAAAUUGCUUCAUGGUUUUAUUUUAUGAGCAUUGUAUAGGUAACGUUUUCCCAAAGAAGUGGCUAUUUUAAUGGAUGUUUGAAUGUCACAAAUUCAUUAACACUAAAAUAGUACAGAUAUUGUUAUAUUUCUGUUGUCCCUUCCUAUAUUUUUGAUUACAUACAUACUUCCUAAGUUAUCUACUCCUUGACUACUCAUAUGGUAAGUAUAGUUUUUGUAAAAAUUAAAUAGUUACACUCAAUAAUCCAUUAAAGUCUCCACACAUUAGACUGCAUUAGAAAAAAAGUCAAUAAUGUAAUGAUGAGACCUAUUUGACUUUUGAAAAUAUUUUCUCAUUGCAGCAGUGUCUUCCAAACUUGGUUAGGGCUGUUACAAGAGGGAUUAUUCCAGCCUGCUGUCAGUUUUUGUCUUGAGAAUACUUUGAUAUUAAAUGCCAGAAUUACUAUUUAAUUAGUUGUAGAAAACAUACAUUUUUGCUGGAGCACAAGUAUUUUUCUGUACAUAUAAAGUAGGAAACUUUUUUUGUUGCCAUAAACAUUAUGUUUUGAUGGCACACAUGGCUUCAGGAGCUGUGCUACCACAUGUCAGCCCUGGUCCCAGGAGACAUGACUCGGAUAAGAGAGGGUGAAGGCUGUUGCUUUCACAGCACUUAUUAAAUCUACUCCCACUCCACUAAGUGAUAUCUAAUUUCAUAUUAUCAACCACUUUGAUUUUUUUAAUUUCCAGGAUGCAGAUAACAGAGUGCACCUUGAGUUGCUGAUUAAGUCUUUUUCAUAGUUAGCCUAAGCAGUGCUCAUCCUCAGGUGAAUUGUUUCAACAGCCUCUGCCAAAUCAUAUUUUACCAUGAAGGAGAAUCAAGCUUCUUCAAUAUAUCUAGAAUUUAAUGAUGUACCAUUAAUCCUUGUUUCUUAAUUAAAUUAUCUGAAAAAAUAUCUACUUAUAUUUGGAAUUAAAUACAAAAAUCCAGUAUAGUUUCACUGUGCCCAUAUAGUAUUUUACUUGACCUUCACAGCUGUAUUAAUUUGCACAAGUAUUGUCUUGAAUUGAUUUCAGGGUUUUUUCUUUUCUUUUUUUUCCCCCUGGUAAUACUUCAGUGGUUUCCCUGUGUUAGUUUUAAAUCCAAGAUACAGUCUGUUCAGUUCAACACUGAAUACCACUGCAUGUUUUUUUCCAGCAUAUUUUGUCCCUUGGUCUGUGAAAUCUUCAUGCAAUGGGCACUGAUGACAGCAGUGUUAUCUCCAGAUUCCCUGGGCAGCUUCUAUAUUUUUAGGAAUGUACCUAUUACAUGAUAGUUCCAUUAGUCCUGCUCUAUGUCAUUCAUAGUUUCCAGCUGUUGCUUGUUAUUGUGCUCUUUGCUUUACAUCUCUACUGUUCUCUCUUGUGAAGAGAUAUUGUUCUCCCUGUCCCUACCUGAGCACUAUUUUUGUAUUAUGAGAAUGCUCAAAUGCUAUUUCAGCUCUGUUUGGCUCAUCUUCCAUGUAUUGAGGCCACCUGAUACAGGACUUCUGCUUUGGGAGUGGUAAGUAACAUUGCCUGCUCUUGAAUCUGAGUGACAGUGUCUCUUCCCAGAAGUGGGCUCCUUUUAUAUCUGUCUCCUUUUAUAUGUGUGACUAUUUUUUCUCUUAUUAGUUCUCUUUUGAAGUCUACAUAUCUGCAGCAUUCAGCAAACCUAUCAAGUGCUGUCAUGAAAUCUUCAUCAUUUGCCUUUUAUUCCUAGCAGUUUGUUGUAGCAAGUGAUCCUGAUACUCUUGCUUGGAGGAAGUCAUAAAGAAUAAUAGACUACUCCAGCUUCUGAGGCAUGCUUUCCUGUGUAAACAUAGAGAAAACAGCUGGAAGGAGCCAGUUCUGUUGCACCUUAAGAAUAGUUUCACAUCAGUUUGUUUCUUAGUCAAAUUAGGAGAUCUCAGUCAGCAGCUUGCCACUGUCACUUCUUCUUGAACUGGUUUCCUUAACUCCAUAAUGAAAAUCUGUCUCCAAAGAAAGUUUGUUAUAUAUUUUCUUAAUUAGUCUAAUAGCAUAUAUUAUAACUAUAAUAUAAAACCAAGACAAGAAAUUGUGAUAUUUAUUGUACAAAACUGUUUUCUCUGACUGAAGUAUAUUAAAAUCCAUGAGAAAAGCUAACUUGUUUUGACACCAGGACACAUGAGAGCAGCGUGUUGCAUAGCCCUGAUGGUAUGUAAUCAUAUUAUCUGAUUUAUAUCUGGAUCACUGGUAUUCUUUGUGCUUUAAUCAGCUUCAGAAGUUAACCAACUUAUGCUGGUUUAGAAUGUUGUAUCUGGAGGAAAAUUGCUUUCCUGUGAAAUGACAAAACUGAUUAAUAUUCAAUAUUGUAGCUUCUGAAAACAGGUAUGUUAUUUAGUUAACUAUUUUAGCUAUACCAAAAAAGUCAGUGAUACAUAUUGACAAUUGAGCAUGUAAUUGAAAUAUAUUUUUAAGGAAAACUGACUUUUAAUAUAUGAUUUAUUUUUAAGAAAAUAAUUGUCAAUGCUAUGGUCCAAUUUUUUUUAAUGAAAACAGAAAACCAAAGAUUUUUUUAAGAUUUUGGUGAAUGCUAUCUAUCAAAGCAAUGGUAUCUAUCAAAGCAAUAUCAAAGUCUGCUGAACUCAGUGAGAAUAUAUGACUCAUAAAGUCAUAUAAUAAUUUAAGAUGGAAGGUAUUUCUGAAGGUCGCGUAGUCAAAAUUCUACUCAAAGAGGAACUGACUUCAAAGGUUUUUUACAGGAUACAUUUUUCUGGAAGACUCUAUACAGACGCAGACACCUGUGAUAGUCUGUGUCUAAAUGUGCUGUUUACAUAUAUGUGGGGGAUCAAAAUAUGACUUUCCAACAGAGAGUAGUGUGAAGCUUGCUUUCACAGUUUGGCAUGGCUUCUUGCAUUUCCUCCAGUUGUGAAAGCGUUUUCAGCUUGAACCUCUGAUUAAAAAAAGCUUUGCAGUUCAGCUUCAAAUAAACAUUCAUUUUAGUUCACAUUUCUAAGAAUACUAUUUUUUCCUUUGCUUUAGUUUUGAAGCCUGCUGCACGUGUAUGGAUGAAAAUUAUAAAUAUAAGUACGUCCUUUGCAUUUUUUAAAACCAAUUUUUCAAAACCAUUUUUUAAAACCAAUUAUUGAGUUUUGUGAGAUUCGAUAUGUGAGCAUGAUGAAGAAGGGAGAAGAGAAGAACAGCUCUGGACCAUCUUCUUUGCCCUUCAUGAGGGUUGAAUUGGAAGUAGGAGUAUUGAGUCAGGGUUGUGUGACUGUCAGGAGCACUGGCGCAAAAGUAUGGAGGGGGUAGAAUCUGGUUCAGACCUGUGCAGUGAGAGAUUGCUACUCUUUCUCACUCUGAGUGGCUUGUGUGGGUGCACACACAUCGUCCCCAGCAAUCAACUGCUGCAUGUACUCUUAUGACUCACCCUCACCCAAAAUAUUCACAGACAAUGUAUACAUAUACUAGAAAUAAACAAAUAUGCACUUGAAUAUAUCCUACAGAAAGAUGACAGAAUUUAUAGGUGUCACAUUCUGCAUCUUAAUUAGAUAUUCUCUUUUGAAUCUCCUCUAAAGAUGCAAAAGCAAGUCCCAGAGCAUGUCUAUUCAUGUUGUAGUACCUUGGCUCUUGAUUCUAAAAGUGUCUAAUAGCACUUGAUUUGUCAGUUUUUAUAUAUGUGAUCUAGGAUUUUGUUUGAGUCUCUGAAUACCUUCUCACUGGCACAUGUCUGAAGCUGCCUUUAUACACAUAAGGAUUUUAUUUAUCAUUUCAUAACUUUUAAAAUUAGAAAAUAGAUACAUAAUUUUAGAGAUAUUUUGUGAAAUUACAUGGAAAAGCAGUUAUGACAAAAAGGAUAAAAAUCCAUACACUUAGUGUGCCUUAUUUAGUUUGUCAAAAACACUUGAGCUGUUGAGAGAAUCUAAUGUAAUUCAAUGAAUCUGCAAGUACAUUUUCAGCCCAUUGAAAAUGACUGUCAAUUCAAGGUUACUUCAUAAAACUGAAUCAUGAACAAAAAUUACUUGGUGAAGAUGAAAAAGGCAAAGAAGUAAAACAAAUAAGGAAAUGGGUAUUAACAAAUUAGAAAUUAGACCAACAAAAAAUGUUAAUAGAGAUUUAUGGAAUAAAAAAUAUUUUUUUCUUAUAUGGUCUUUCUUUGACCAUUAUUGGCCUAUCUAUGUUUCAUUAUGUAGAAAAAUUGUCUAUUGACUUCAAUAGCACUCUUUCAAUUCAUGCAGGCAACCAUUUCCCCUUGAAAAAAUAAUAAAUAUUAUUAAUGAGUAUUUUUUAUGCAAAUGGAAUUGCAAAGCUAUUCCUUUCUCCAUAUAUUUUUCACCCAAAUUCCACUUUUGAGCUAGCAUUAAAAUAUGAAUAAAUUUAGUAAUUCAUAAGUGUAUAUCAUUAUCUUUCUUUUUACACAUAGUCUUACGGCAGAAACAUUUGUCUUCUUGUUAAUUUUUCUUCAUUUCUUGCCUUCAAAUUGUCAUUUCAAGUGUGAGAUGCUUAUAAGAUUACAAUUAUCUACUCAGUUAGAAUGGUUAUUUAUCAAGUAUAGAAUUAGUGAAAAAAUAAAGCCAUUAGAGUCUUUCUCCCCUUUGUUUUCUGUUCCAAUUCCCCAGCUAGAACUGAGUUGCUGCCUACACAUUUGCACAGAUAGUAAUAUUAACUAUUGCUCAAAAAUAUUGGUGAGCUGGGUUUGCCAGAAGGUAAUGGUCCUGGGUAUAGUCAGACAUUCCUGGCAGACAAAAAGGAACAGAUUAAAUUUCAUUCAGCUGCAGAAGACCAAGAAUAUUGUUCUCUUUUGUGUGUGUGUGUGUAUUUUCUUUAUGUUUUGCUUUCUGUUUCCCUCAUGUCUUCAUAAAUUAGGCAUUUCUUGGGGCCUUUUAAAACACUGAAACCUGCUCAGUAUAUGCAGAGGAGGCUAAAUUCUGGACUCUGAUUUUUGAUGAAAGAAUUCUGGACUCUGAUUCCAAACUUGAAAGACAAGUAUUACUCAGCAUUUCCAUCUGGCCAUCAGUAUCUGUUCUCCUUCUCAAACAGGGGAUUUCAUGAAAUGAGUUUACAUUUGCUUUUAAUGCGCCAGUAUCUGUUUCAGAUAUCUGCAUUGCUACAGUGAGGCACUGUGUUUCAAAUGAGGCAGCAACAAAACUGUUCAGACCCCACAGCUUCCCAAAGUGCCUGUCAGCAGCUCUACAUGGCUGAGCAAGUGCAAGGGCUCCAAUCCUCUUUCAGACUCGGACAGGAGGAUCCUUUACUCCGAAUCAUGAAGGAGAGAUACAAAUAUGCCUGGCUUACUCCCCACUCCCUGGCUGUGGCCAAGGCCUUUCCACUGAAACUCUGCAACAUAAAGACCUUGCCAUUGAUGAUGUGGAUUUAUGGUAGCAUCAGGCUCCAUCCAGGAGGAAGGACCAUUAAAGGUUGCACCUAAUUGCCACCAAUGAUUCCUGCACUGCAAUUUUUCAGAAGAUACAGCAAAGCAGAUUUUCAUGACAAGUAUAAAAAGCACUCUUCUGAGACAAUGCAGCCAUUCCUCCAUUUCUAACCCUUAUGCCAAGCUAAGAGUAUUUAAGCCAUUAUGGACUAAGGUAUUGUCCUGGAUUAGGGCAAAUCUGGGAGAAAACCUCCAAAAGGGGCCCACCAGAAAGCAAACCCACACAGGCCCUUCCCCCCACUGGUUUGGGAAGGAUUCCUCAGAGAGAAGUAGAAAGAACCUGUUUAUUUAACAAGCGAAACACCCCCAGCACACAAAAUGAACAAUACCAGAUGACAACACUUUCACCGAUCUGAAAAGGAUAACAAAUUCAGAAAUUUGUUUUCCUGGGAGUGGUCACUCUGUUGUUGCUCCCUCCGGCGCUGGAGAUAGCUGCUGCAGCCACCAGAUGUAAACUCUUGGUGUUUCCCAGGUCCCAGUCUGGAGCAGGUUUGGAUGGUUCCAAAAAGGGAAGGGAAAAAAACUGUCCAGGGGAAAAAAUCUGGACCGCUUAGCUAAACUAACUAACAGAAGCAAAAAAGCAAAAGCAGAGCAGAAGCAAAGCAGGAGUGAAGCAGGAGCAAGAGCAAAGCAAGCAGCAAAAAGCAAAGCAAAAAGCAAAAGCCGCACGAUGUACUGCCUCGUCUUUCUGUCCCGCCAGCCAUGGGGGAGCAGGGUGAUAACGAACCAAAACAAACCUUGCUCUUCAGAGCCAGUCUUGAAGGCACAGUACAUAAUAUCCAGCACUAACAGAACACACAAUUGGGGAUACAGGCAUCAUAACCUCACCCUAGGACAGGUAUCCAGAAAUUUUAAACACACACACACUACUAUUUGAAAUUACUGAGCUGCUCUAGCUAACAUUAAAAAAAGUAGAACAAAAAUAUAAGUUUGAUCUGAGAUAGGCACCACAGACAUCAAAAAGAAAUCAGUCUAAAAAAUACAAAUUUUAUAAAGUUGCAACAUAACAGAAAAUGAGGCAGGCUAGUGGGCAUUUUGACAGGGGAUAUAAAAGUAUACUGCUGGGCCAGCUCCAUAUUUUACUCAGAAACAAAGAAAAAAGCCCCAACCAUUUUCUGAGGAUUUGGAACAAUUUUAUUAGCAGAUGGAGAAAAGGGAAGAAACAACAGCUGAGAGCAGAAAAGAAAGAAAACCACUUUUUUUUUCUAUAAGAGAAGCAAAAUACUUCUAAUCUGUAUUGCAAGUUCAUAUCCUUAGUGGUUAGCUGCAGGAGAAGCUGUUGAUAGAGUCAAGAGAGGUUAAUGGCAGGAGAAAGCUGAAAGUGUAUUCUUUGCCAGACAAUACAAGUGAAAGUAUUUGGAGAACAAGUGAGUAUGAUAAUGCAACUUAUUAUGGAGCUUCAUUUUCUCUUAGCUCUGACAGAAAACAGCUGCCUCAGUACUUCACCAUUACCUGAGUAGUCAAGGUGAGAUGAGAUUGAGAAGAGUUUAUGACUUAGUUUUUCAGCAGCAGCAGUCAAAGUAAAAGGCAAGUAAAGGGCAAGAAUUGGACUCAGCAUUUUCAUUUUCCACAUGGGACUUUGUAUAUUACAUUUACAUUUUAUAUGUUACAUGCAAUUUUCUAAGCAUUUCCCUUCUGGCAUUUAUGCCACAUGAGAUGGUUGAUUAUUUGUUCACUGAAAUUAAUGUUACCACUUUUAAAUUAUGGUAGAUUCUUGCUCACAGAAAGAUGCAUACUUUAAUAUAAAGAGAGCAUAGCUAAGAGAUAGAGGAAGAGAGGAAGGAGCAGGGGAAAGAAAACCAGAAACAACAGAGGGAGAAAUUAAUAGAGGAAGGCAGAGAGGAAGGGAGAUAACAUUUUUGACAACUUUUGAUUCCUUGUUUGUUUCCUAACUUUUUAUGCAAUGAUAAGCUUCUUCAGAACUCUCAGUCUUAGUUUCUUGUCUUUAAAUGAAAGAUAAAAUUACUGAAAUAAUUUUCAUUGGUGCUUUGAAAAACUGAAAUAAGGAGCAGCUUGUACAGGAAAAAGAAAUUAAAUUAAUUUUUAAAAUAUAUUUCUGAAAAAAUGUUUUUUUAAAUGCUCAGUUUUGAAAAAGCUGUUCCAUCUUACACAAGAAAAGGUAGAAGGUUGUUAUGAGAGAAAUCAGAACCAUCUGUCUAGGUCACUUGUGUUACCUUAACUUUCUUUGCUUCAACUUUAGUCUCCUAAAACAUCUCUUGAUUUUCUAACUCCAUAACAUUAUGGAAGUGUUCCUACUCAGACCAUUCUGGGAAAUUUCAGAUUUCUGUGCACAGAAAAGGAUGUUGAUAAUGUAAUAAAUUUUAAUAUAUAUUUUUAAUACACUUAGGUAGUAUUAGAAAAAAAAUAGGGAGAAAAUUUACUAAACCAAGAGUAUCUCCAAGUUCUUCUAAAUCCACAAAUUGGAGAGGGUAGUAUGGGUCAGAGGGAUCAAUGAGAAAAGGAAUGAUGGUGCAUGGCAGUGCCUCAGUUUGGUGAGCAGUGUUCUUCCUCCAGAUAAAGGAAAUCAGUUUUUCCUCACUCUGUUCCAGUAUAGAGUAUAGGUGGUUGUCGGAGAAAUUCACAAGAUUAAGAGAUUUUUUAAUAUCUUUCCUUAAUUGGGUUUUAUUACCAAUAAAAACAUUACAUUUUAACUGUUUGCUUCAUUGCAUUUCCAGAAAUAUUUGACAGGCACAUGUCUGGUUGAUGUACUGGUUCUCAGGAACCCAUUGAGUUCUUGUAUUUGCUUGUACAUCAGCAAAGAUAAAAUCAUCCUUUUAAAUUUCAAGACAAGCACUUAACUUCAGUUUUCACACUGUUUAAGAUGAGUAUACAUAAUCUUCCAAAAUUAGACAGAGAAACAUGUUCUGUGCUGGACAGCUAAAAUCUUAGCUAAACUCUUAAAUAUGAACAAACAAAAACCGUCAGAGAUUUUAUUCUUAGGGUAAAAAAUGUAUAUUAAAAAUGUUUUCCACUUUCAAAGUACUACCUCCCUCAGAACUAACAAAGCUCCAUUUUAUCUUUCUAGGAUUUAUUACUGAUAAAUCCAUUAUGGGCAUUCAAGCUCUCUGUUGCAGUGUGAUGUCACCAGUUUCCCUUGGUUUCUCCCUGAAAUUUCCUUCCCCAGGUGGGCUGUAAAUCACCCUUCCUGUUCCCCACCCUUGACCCCUGCUGUCAACCCAGAAAUUCCAAGAGGAACAUCAAGUGAUUGGCAGGUUCAAAGGAUGCCCUCCACCCCCCGGGGGGCCAUUGGCCCACCCAAGUGUCCCUCUCACCUGAGACCCCCUCCCCCUGGUUGGUGGUCCCUGUGUCCCCUCCCCUGCCCCUCUCCCCAGGUAAAAGGACAAGCAGAGCAUGAGGUCAGGGUUCUGGUGGGAGAGUUCUGAUGGGAGAGUUGAGGGGAUUGUUGCAAGAUUCAGAGGCCAUGCCACCAAAAUAAAACUCUGGAUUAAAAACUCUCCAUGGGGACCUGCUCCUUUCUUCACCUCGCCUCAAAGGUUUCUCUGGCUCAGCAAGGCCUGAGGAGUGACCCCCUCAGCAGCAAGCUCUAUCCUGCAAGCUCUGGAGCUCAGGGCAUUACCGGACUUGUCCCCACGCGCCCAGCUACCACCACAGGUACUGAACAGCGUCUCUGGGGAGAAAACUCCACGGGUGCUGCUAUUUGGUCAGCAGCCGAGGCCAGACAGACCAAGGCAGUCCCGUCUGUAAUAUUGGUCAACUCCAAUAGCUCUCAAAUUUCGUAUUCCCCCAAGAUGUUAAAAUUUAAGUAAUAUAUUUGGGGUUCUUUUUUUAUUUUCUUGGUGUUUUCAGUUUAUUUUCAGUGUAACUGGGUUUCUGCUUAGGGAUGUUCUCCACAGGUAUCAGGACUUAUAAUGUUUCAUCACAAAGGCUAAAAAGACCCUCAGGAUCACUGGGUGCAACAGUUUGCUACUCUUCUUCUCUUAGCAAAACGUUUUUCUUACAGGAAAAAUGAUAAAAGAGAGGAAAAAUUUUCUAUAUAUGAUUAUAACUUGUGAAGAGAAACUGUUUAAGAUCGUCAUUCUGGAAGAUAACUUAAGACAAGCUGAAAAAGCAGUCUUCAUAUUUCUAGGGCAGAAAAAAUUCUAAAAAAAGAGUAGAGUUCAAUCAAUUCAGAGAAGUACAAGGGUAUAUUUUUAGAGACAGUAACCAAAAGCAAAACUAUUAAAUAGUGUUGUUACCUUUAAAGAAAUAAAAGUCAUAGCAUAGUUAAAACUCACCUAAUUGCAAAAUCAAAAUAGGAAGGCUAUCAAGACAUCAGUUUGAUUCAGUCAUUGACCCUCCAUAGAACUCAGAUAAGAGAAUGAGAAAUAUAAAACAAAGUAUCAAAUUCAGGUUACUAGGGAAGAAUUAAAAAGUGUAGCACAGGUGCGUAGAGACAAAAUUAUAAAGAAAAGAACUUAAGAAGAAAAAGAAGCAACUAUUAAGGAGAAACAAAAGUAUCACUAUAUCAUCCUAGAGGGAUCACAGUAGUCAGAUGCAAACAAUGGUCCAAGGAGAGGCUUGGUCUGAUACUAAACCACUAACCAAUGAUAGUUUUAAAUGGUCUCUUUGUGACUGUUUUCUCUAGGAUUUACUGCUGUCAAUACCAGCAACAAUUGUCAUUGGGGUAAAAUUAAUCUUAAAUAAAGAAAAUAAGCAUUUAAAA
Passer domesticus (house sparrow) is the source of this 15028-nucleotide long non-coding RNA. RefSeq lists it as uncharacterized. NCBI's taxonomy places the organism in Eukaryota, Metazoa, Chordata, Aves, Passeriformes, Passeridae. The record is from RefSeq and is a predicted model, not a curated record. The transcript has 2 exons.